Papaver somniferum (opium poppy) is the source of this 115-nucleotide small nucleolar RNA. RefSeq annotates it as small nucleolar RNA Z278. NCBI's taxonomy places the organism in Eukaryota, Viridiplantae, Streptophyta, Magnoliopsida, Ranunculales, Papaveraceae. The transcript has a single exon. The record is from RefSeq and is a predicted model, not a curated record.
UCCUAUGACGAUGUUAUCCAAUUAGUUGAGAGUAGUGGAACUGAGACCCUGUUCGCAGGGAGAACCCCUUGGGGAAACUGCAUUCGUAUGACAAUAGUGGGGAUCUAACUGAGGC